Molecule: ribosomal RNA, 193 nt
Filed under: uncultured Acidobacteriota bacterium
Lineage: Bacteria; Pseudomonadati; Acidobacteriota
Description: uncultured Acidobacteria bacterium partial 16S ribosomal RNA
Rfam family: Bacterial small subunit ribosomal RNA
Source: RNAcentral
UCCUACGGGAGGCAGCAGUCGGGAAUUUUGGGCAGUGGGCGAAAGCCUGACCCAGCAACGCCGCGUGAAGGAUGAAAUCCCUCGGGAUGUAAACUUCGCAAGAACGGGAAGAAUAAGUGAGAGCUAACAUCUCUUACGAUGACGGUACUGUUUGUAAGCUCCGGCUAACUCCGUGCCAGCAGCCGCGGUAAUA